GACGAACGCUGGCGGCGUGCCUAAUACAUGCAAGUAGAACGCUGAAGGAGGAGCUUGCUUCUCUGGAUGAGUUGCGAACGGGUGAGUAACGCGUAGGUAACCUGCCUGGUAGCGGGGGAUAACUAUUGGAAACGAUAGCUAAUACCGCAUAGGAGUAGAUGUUGCAUGACAUUUGCUUAAAAGGUGCAAUUGCAUCACUACCAGAUGGACCUGCGUUGUAUUAGCUAGUUGGUGGGGUAACGGCUCACCAAGGCGACGAUACAUAGCCGACCUGAGAGGGUGAUCGGCCACACUGGGACUGAGACACGGCCCAGACUCCUACGGGAGGCAGCAGUAGGGAAUCUUCGGCAAUGGACGGAAGUCUGACCGAGAAACGCCGCGUGAGUGAAGAAGGUUUUCGGAUCGUAAAGCUCUGUUGUAAGAGAAGAACGAGUGUGAGAGUGGAAAGUUCACACUGUGACGGUAUCUUACCAGAAAGGGACGGCUAACUACGUG
Molecule: ribosomal RNA, 495 nt
Filed under: uncultured bacterium
Lineage: Bacteria
Description: partial 16S ribosomal RNA
Rfam family: Bacterial small subunit ribosomal RNA
Source: RNAcentral